UCCUUGUUAUGCAAGGCAGUCUCCUGUGAAAAAUACAACACAGGAUAAGGGUUGCGCUCGUUUACGGACUUAACCGAACACCUCAAGGCACGAGCUGACGACAACCAUGCAGCACCUGUCAUUCCGUUCCUUACGGCACUCCUCUGUUUCCAGUGGAUUCGGAAGAUGUCAAGUCUUGGUAAGGUUCCUCGCUUAUUGUCGAAUUAAACCACACGCUCCACCGCUUGUGUGGGUCCCCGUCUAUUCCUUUGAGUUUUAAUCUUGCGAUCGUACUACUCAGGCGGAUCACUUAUCGUGUUAACUUAGGCACUGAGAGGGUCGAACUCCCAACACCGAGUGAUCAUCGUUUACGGCGUGGACUAC
RNAcentral lists this unclassified non-coding RNA (363 nucleotides) under uncultured bacterium. Its description in RNAcentral is "contains 16S-23S intergenic spacer region". The record is from RNAcentral.